GACGAACGCUGGCGGCGUGCUUAACACAUGCAAGUCGAACGAUGAACCCGGAGCUUGCUCCGGUGGAUUAGUGGCGAACGGGUGAGUAACACGUGAGUAACCUGCCCUUGACUCUGGGGUAACUGCGGGAAACUGUAGCUAAUACCGGAUACGACCCUCGGCGGCAUCGCCAGGGGGUGGAAAGAAUUUCGGUCAAGGAUGGACUCGCGGCCUAUCAGCUAGUUGGUGAGGUAACGGCUCACCAAGGCGACGACGGGUAGCCGGCCUGAGAGGGUGACCGGCCACACUGGGACUGAGACACGGCCCAGACUCCUACGGGAGGCAGCAGUGGGGAAUAUUGCACAAUGGGCGAAAGCCUGAUGCAGCGACGCCGCGUGAGGGAUGACGGCCUUCGGGUUGUAAACCUCUUUCAGCAGGGAAGAAGCGCAAGUGACGGUACCUGCAGAAGAAGCACCGGCUAACUACGUGCCAGCCGCCGCCGUAA
RNAcentral lists this ribosomal RNA (484 nucleotides) under uncultured bacterium. Its description in RNAcentral is "partial 16S ribosomal RNA". It matches the Rfam family "Bacterial small subunit ribosomal RNA", at positions 28 to 523 of the family's 1533-position model. The record is from RNAcentral.